UACAAAUCUCAACAUUGGACUUCCUCCCUCUCCUGCCCAAUGUCUGUUAUAAGAUAUAUCUGGUAAGAUGAGAAACUUCAUACAGACUGCCACAUUAUUUCAAAGCUGACAGGAGAUGCGUAGCCUCCAUUCUGCAUGAAGCAAAACAAAAGUUAGUUUCAUAUGAGCUCCGAAACACUGUUGUGCUGCUCUAGCCUUUGCUCUCGUCAUUGCAUCACUAACGGAACAGGCUUGCACAUGAGCUGUGAUUUACACAAAGGAGCAAGAGUGAUGUGAGGAGAGUUCCCUUCCUUCCUCCUUCCUAGUUUUAAAUGGACAAAAACAUAUGGGAAAAGUUACUUACAUUCAAAUCUCUGAAGUAUUCAUUGUAAUCUAGGGCGUAUCCCACAACAAACUUGUCUGGCACUUCAAAUCCAACAACUGGAAAAGAAUAUAAG
Molecule: long non-coding RNA, 437 nt
Organism: Oxyura jamaicensis (ruddy duck)
Lineage: Eukaryota; Metazoa; Chordata; Aves; Anseriformes; Anatidae
Exons: 2
Source: RefSeq, a predicted model, not a curated record